UGGCUCAGGAUGAACGCUAGCGGCAGGCUUAACACAUGCAAGUCGAGGGGCAGCGGGGAGGAAGCUUGCUUUCUCCGCCGGCGACCGGCGCACGGGUGAGUAACACGUAUGCAACCUGCCCCUGUCAGGGGGACAACCCGCCGAAAGGCGGGUUAAACCCGCGUACAUGCCACCGGGGCAUCCCGGAGGCAGGAAAGGCUUCGGCCGGACUGGGAUGGGCAUGCGGCGCAUUAGGCAGUAGGCGGGGUAACGGCCCACCUAACCGACGAUGCGUAGGGGUUCUGAGAGGAAGGUCCCCCACACUGGUACUGAGACACGGACCAGACUCCUACGGGAGGCAGCAGUGAGGAAUAUUGGUCAAUGGUCGGGAGACUGAACCAGCCAAGCCGCGUGAGGGAUGAAGGUACAGAGUAUCGUAAACCUCUUUUGUCAGGGAACAAAGGCGGGGACGUGUCCCCGGAUGAGUGUACCUGAAGAAAAAGCAUCGGCUAACUCCGUGCCAGCAGCCGCGGUAAUACGGAGGAUGCGAGCGUUAUCCGGAUUUAUUGGGUUUAAAGGGUGCGCAGGCGGUCUGUUAAGUCAGCGGUCAAAGCCCGGGGCUCAACCCCGGCCCGCCGUUGAAACUGGCAGUCUCGAGUUGGAGAGAAGUAUGCGGAAUGCGCGGUGUAGCGGUGAAAUGCAUAGAUAUCGCGCAGAACUCCGAUUGCGAAGGCAGCAUGCCGGCUCCACACUGACGCUGAGGCACGAAAGCGUGGGUAUCGAACAGGAUUAGAUACCUGGUAGUCCACGCAGUAAACGAUGAAUGCUGGCUGUCCGGGGGGGAUUGACCCCUGGGUGGCGAAGCGAAAGCGAUAAGCAUUCCACCUGGGGAGUACGCCGGCAACGGUGAAACUCAAAGGAAUUGACGGGGGCCCGCACAAGUGGAGGAACAUGUGGUCUAAUUUGAUGAUACGCGAGGAACCUUACCCGGGCUCAAACGGGGAGUGACUCAGGCAGAGACGCCUGUUUUCCACGGGACACUCCCUGAGGUGCUGCAUGGUUGUCGUCAGCUCGUGCCGUGAGGUGUCGGCUUAAGUGCCAUAACGAGCGCAACCCCCGCUGUGCAGUUGCUAACAGAUAACGCUGAGGACUCUGCACGGACUGCCGGCGCAAGCCGCGAGGAAGGCGGGGAUGACGUCAAAUCAGCACGGCCCUUACGUCCGGGGCGACACACGUGUUACAAUGGGUGGUACAGCGGGAAGCCAGGCGGCGACGCCGAGCGGAACCCGAAAUCCACUCUCAGUUCGGAUCGGAGUCUGCAACCCGACUCCGUGAAGCUGGAUUCGCUAGUAAUCGCGCAUCAGCCAUGGCGCGGUGAAUACGUUCCCGGGCCUUGUACACACCGCCCGUCAAGCCAUGGGAGCCGAGGGCGCUUGAAGUGCGUCGCCGCGAGGCGCGCCCUAGAGCGAAAUCGGUGACUGGGGCUAAGUCGUAACAAGG
This 1479-nucleotide ribosomal RNA is filed under the name uncultured bacterium. RNAcentral describes it as "16S ribosomal RNA". It matches the Rfam family "Bacterial small subunit ribosomal RNA". The record is from RNAcentral.